UGCAUGGUAUACAGAAGUUUGAUGGA
Molecule: non-coding RNA, 26 nt
Filed under: Mus musculus (house mouse)
Lineage: Eukaryota; Metazoa; Chordata; Mammalia; Rodentia; Muridae
Source: RNAcentral